GCCAUAGGGGCCCCUCCUAUGUGGACAGAAGCCUGAUUGUGAGCCAAGCCAGUAAGAAGGUCAGCUUCUCUUUAGAUUAGGAGGCUGCAGAGCAAACAGUCUAGCAGUGACCACAGGGUGGAGGACAUGACUUUGAGGGUGGAGUAUGUGGCUGUAUUUUGUCUUAGCAAUGCCCAGCUCACUGAGGAGAUCCUGAUCCAUUCUCAGCUAAUUCUGCCUCUCAAGAACUUCAGUGCCAUUGUGGGACCACCCAGGAAGACCUUCUGUUCAAGAUCAAGGUGAGAUCUUCACCUGGGAAAAAGAUUGUGGUCAGCUGUUCUGUACAUGCUGAGGAGAGAGUAGGGGGCUGCAUGACAUGAUAGGUUUGUAAAUUGUCCUUGCUUAGGUUCCAUUGAAGUCACCUUGUACUUACUCUCUUCUGCUGUCUAUAUCUAAUAAGUCCAGAUCAAAAGUUACUUAAUCUUAUGUUUUCAUCAGUGAGUAGACUUUCAAUCACCUUCCACCUUCAUCUGUUUAUUAAUUAAGAUGUGGUUUCUUUGAUCAAAGUUUUACUUCUAUACAACUUUAUCUCACUUCUCUCUUUUAAAUUGUUAACAUUUUUCUGCUCUUUUCAAAUACCUUUCUACUUUCAUCACUCCCAUGGGCUUACUUACUUAUUUUUUUGUGAUAUAUCCUUCCUCUUAUUUCCUUAGUGUGUUGGGAAGAGAUUGUUUAGUGUGAUGUAUAAUUUAAAAAAAAUGGAGCUUUUGAUAAAUAUGAUUUAGCUAUGGAUGCCAUUGUGGAUGUUGGCAUCUGUGUAUCUGCUCUUUUUAAAAAGUUUUAUUUUAUUUUUUAUGGAAUGAUAUAAUAAUUGAGGACAGUUUAAUAACAUUUCCUUGAACUUCUAAGUUUAAGGAAAACAAUUAAGUUUAAGGAAACCAACUUAAGGUGCAGUGAUACCCUGGGGCUAGUAAUUGUGAGGAACUAUCACACCCUAGGCUUUAACAGAUUAAAGUGGGAAGAGGAGAAAGUGGCUGGUAGAAACAAUCAGAGUAACUGAUGAAAGGGUUGUAGGGGCUUUGGCCUUUGUAGAGAUAAUGUCAACACAUUGGAAGGAAACUUCAUCUCUCCUCUCCCUUCCUUUGAUCUGCUGAUGACUCCCACUAAGUGACUCCAAUUGGUGUAGAGGUUGGGAAAGCUCACUGAUGGCUUUUAUAGAGGUCAGCCUCCAGGAACAUAGAGAAGAGUAGGAAAUAAUGAAGGAUGGAUCCGGAUGGAUGGAUGGGGAAAAUUCAGCAGAGCCCUGCCUUCUGUAUUCAUAUUUUGUUCUGUCCAGAUGAAAUGUUCUGUGUAUGCCCCACCUAUGAUUUCCCUUCAGCUACAUUGACAACAAUUCAGUCAUCUACACAUAUGGAACUAAAGUAGAAAGCAAUACCAGGGUUUCCGUUAAAGGUAGGAGAUAGCGGGGAUAAGAGAAAGUAAAAAUAGAUAAUUAGCAUAAUACUUUUCUACUGCAGUGUUUAUUUCUGAUGCUAGUUCUGAAGACUAAUUUGAUAAUUAGAACCUCUUUCUCUCCUACCCAGUUCAUCUUAUCUUGGUUCUGAUGGUGCCUGAGAUGAAUGGAACUCUUGAAGUGUUGAGGUGAUCCUAAAUGAUCUGAGUCUACCGUGGAGCUUUAUUUACUCUGUUGCUAUUGUCUGAGACACUUAGGCAAAGUAAUGCGUUUCUCCUUUAGGGAAUAUGACUACUAACCUACUUAACCAAAUGUAGGGAUGGGGAGCAAACAUUCUUCCAGAAAGUUAUUUUUAUAAUAGUAAGAGGACCUAUUCUCAUGUAUGUAUUUUGGUUCUUUGCCCCAAAAUUCUAGUUAUGUUAGCAGUGGCUCUAUAUACUGAGAACUAGUUUGGUACUUAAUAUAUUCUAUAGAGUAGAAUUGUAACUUUGAAGGUUAUUUUCCCUUUAGUGAAUUGAGUCUUGAGAUCUCCAUGAUAUUUCAUUAAAACAGCAGCUAUUGAGUUAUGGGGCACCAUGGUAAGACCAGCACAACUUCUGGUAUGAGCCAUUUCCUAUAAUUUAAAAUGAAUCUCCCAGUUUUGGAGAUGUUGUUUGGGGUUCCAUGGUGAUGGAAAAGGUUAAUAAUGUAAUGUAGACCCUCUCAGGGGCAAAACAGAGUAGAAAGUGGAAAGUGGAACAGAUCUGUCAGAAUAAAUGGAAAAUAUUUCAGCACAUAAGAAAACUUUACUGUUUAGAAGGAGGAGGAAGAUUAAAGGAUGAUUAGAAAAAAAUAAUUGGCUAGGAGGAAAAGCAGGUAGCUUACUGGUAACACAAAUUUGGUUGAUUUUGUUCUUUUAAGAUUAUCAGGAAAAACAAGAUAGUAUGGGCUUCAAUUAAAAAACAAAUGUAAAUGGAGAGAAAAUAAUAAUAAGUCAACCCUUUUGAACUUCUUUGACAUUCUGAUGAUAGAUACUCACAUCUAAUAUAAGAAUAAUAUGGUAUAAGCCAUAAAAAUAGUUCUAUUAGAUAUUUGUGUUCAUAGAAAGUGUCCAAGAAAUUUCCCUCAGUGAAACAAUCUCUUAUUUGUUCAACUGAGUAACUAUCAGGUGCCAUAUAUUGGCCAAAGCACCAGGUACAUGGGAAUGAAAAGCUUUGGAUCCCAAGAAGCCAACAGUCUAAUAGCCAAAGAGACAUGAAAACAACAUAAAUAAUACAAGUGGUCAUUGCUAUGAAUAAAAAAAGGAGCAAAUUUGGCUUAAAGUUCUGGGAUGGAAAGGGAAAAGGAUGAAGGAGAGCUCAGGGGAAACUGCACAAAGUACCUGACUCUUGGGGAAAAUGGUAUUAUUCAAUAAACAAACAAAUAAGCCAACAGAAGAAGGAAGUUAUUACAAGCAGAGCUAAAAGCAGGUGCAAUCAUAGGGAGGUAUGGAAUAUUUAGGACAAUAGUUCAGUGAAACUGUAAUAGAUGAUGUGAGAGGGAAAGAGGUGGGGCAUGAGGCUUGUGAGGGUGUGACAGACAGGAGGCUGAUGUCAAUUAUUCUUGCUGUCCAUUCACUGUGUAAAUGAAUGGUAUCUGAUUUUUCUUACAACAUAUAUCUAUGGGAAUUAGAGAAGCCACAGCUAGAUAUUUCCUUCACUACUUGUACUAAUUUGCAAAAAAAAAUAUGAUCUUCCAAGUUAUUAAGCUUAUAUUCAGCAACUUGUUGUCGAAAAAAGUGUGUUUUCUGGGCCCCCUAAAAAUAUUAGAUGAAUAAUUAGGUUUGCUAAAAGUUCAAUCACAUAUUCUUAAAUAAUAUAAAUGUAUAUAUGGUAUAUUAAUAACUUAUUAAAGUUAUUUUAGUUUUCAAAUGGCUUUCAAAAUAUUUCAAAUAUAAGAAAAUACAAAAGUACUCAAUAUUAGGUUGGGUUAUUAUUUGUUAUUAUUUAGUAAUGUCUAACAUAACACAUAUAUUAACUUAGAGGUUAGAGGCAGAGGAAAUUGGAAUACUAUAUGAGAGUUUUAAUCUAUUUCCAUUUAGAAUCAAAGUUCUUAUAGAUAUGAGUGUGCCAUGAAAUUAUGGUGCAUUUCUAAUGUUAAAAAAGUUUAAUAUAAUUGAUUUCUUGUCAUAAUUUAAAUUUUUUAUUUCAUCUAGUUUUUUUAAAAAGUAAAGAGAAAUAUACUUUGUUACUAGAAUAUAAUUGACUAUAGAAAAGCAACGACAUACAAUACAUAUAGUUGUCCCUUUGUAUCCAUAAAGAAUUGGUUCCAGAACCUGCAUGGAUAGCAAAAUUGAAGGACACUCAGGUCCUUUAUAUAGAAUAACAUAGUAUCUGCAUAAACCCAUGUAUAACUUCCCAGUUUAAAUCAUCUGUAAAUUAUUUAUAAUGCCUAAUACACUAUAAAUACUAUGUAACUGAUAAUCAUGUGUGUUGUGUAGGGAAUAAUGACAAGAAAACAGUCUGUGCAUGUUUGGUACAGAGAGAAACUUAAAGAAAUAGUUUUGAUUUGCAUUUGGUUGAACUCAGAUGCAGAACCGGUGGAUAGAGAGGGUUGACUUGAUAAAAUGUUAUUUGAAAUUCUUAGAAUUAGCUUUUAUCUCUGGCAUACUUAGUCUGCUAUUAUAAUUUACUGCAUGGAUUUUAGUUUUAAUGAAUACAUUAAGUUUAGUGAUGCUUUCCGGAUCCUACAUGUAGGAUCAUAUUACAAUGGCAAAGAUGAACACAGUGAUUUAAAUAAAACACUUAAAUUUGUUAAGAUUUAAAUAAUUCCAAGAGAUAUUUUUUUUUUCUCAAAGCUUAUCCAUCUCUUGUUCUCUUAUCUGAAGUGCUUUGGAUCAUUGAAGGCAAAUAAAUUGUGUCAGUUUUGGAAGGACAUGGGAAGAUUGUCCAUCUUUUUUUCUGUUUUCAUUAUACAACAGUGAGCAGUGUCCUAGGGCCUGGUACAGGGAUAUUCGGCCAUGCUUACAUUCUUACAUGGAGCUUGGGAACAAACAGUUCAAGUACAUACAUGACAUUUUCCUAAAUGUUUCUUGGCAAGGUUGCAGAAAUAUUUUCAACCACUGACACAUUUUGUUUUUAUUUUUUAUAACACCACCAGUAGCAAAAUAUGCUAACACGACUGUUAUUUUUUCCUCUUUCUGUUUCUUACGGUGUGAGAAUGAAUUCUGAACAGACACAAAAUAGUUUUUGAUCUACAAAAGAAAAAAAGAAACUAAAUGCAACCCUGGAUGAAGAGCUGGGAGUGCGGGUUCUUUCUAUUUGCCUAGUGCUCUAGUUCUCCAACUGAUAGAACUCCAAACCUUUUCCUAUAUGGCACUAUGUGCAUAUUCACACAGGUCUCCACACACACAUUCACAGAUGUGCAGGCACAGUUAAUUACCCUCCCUUUAUAAUGUCUGGGGAAAAACAAAAGAAGACCACAAAGUUUGUGACAGUGUGAGCAUCAGGGGUCAUUCUCAGGGGACAGAAUGAUGUUAUUCUAAACCAGCAGUCCAUUCAACACAUUCAAAAUUUGGCUAGAUUUUCUAUACCAGCAGCUUCUGUUCUCGCCUUCUUCCUAGUGUCUGCUGAUUUAAUUUUAGUGACGUGAUCACUAAAGGAGUCAAUGUCACAGCAGCUUCUUUUUCUGAGGCCCUUUCAAGGUUUCAAGGAUUCCUUUCUACUUUAUAUCAUGCAGGCCACCUACUCUAGAAUCCUUCCUGGAACAAGUUGAAAUAUUUAUUUUGAAAGGGAAGAAAAGGUAGAAAUUAAAGUUUUUACACAAGAUAUUUGAAACUAAUUUUUGCCUUGGGAAAAUGUUACAUAGCAUUUAAAAUAUCCUCAUGUAUGUGUGGUGACAUAGUGUAAUGAUAGCUGAGUAUGCAUUCUCUCUCUAUAUAUACACUGUUGUUGUUGUUAUUAUUAUUAUUAUUAUUAUUGGGGGGGUUUCCAUAAAUUAAACCCAGGGUCACUCAACCACUGAGCCACAUCCCCAGCCCCUUUGUUUUUUAAAAAAAUAUUUUAUUAGAGACAGGAUCACCCCGAGUUGCUUAAAGCCUUGAUAUGUUGCUGAGGCUGGGAUUACAGGCGUGUGCCACCACACCCAACUUUUUUUUUUUUAACAUUUUUUAUUUUGAGACAGCAUCUAGCUAAAUUGUGUGGAGCAUCUCUAAAUUGCUGAAGCUGGCUUUGAUUGUAAUCCUCCUGCUUCAGCCUCCUGCGCCCCUGGGAUUACAGGCGUGAUCCAUCGUGCCUGGCUUCUCCAUAAAAUUUUUAGAAUGUUUCUUUGUGUUCCAAUAAUAUGCCAAAUCACAACACCCUGAAUUCAUACCAAUGGAUUAUUCUGAGCUAAAUUUCUGAAUUGUAUUCUUAUGCUGGUUAAAAUUUCAAGUUUUUAAAGUAUUUCCUUCCCAAUUAAAAAAAUAGAAUGAAAUAUACCAACUGAACCAGAUCCCAGAUAAACAACUAAACUAAAUAACAUACAAUAGUUGACAUCAAUUUUAACUUUCAGAAAUAUCUGCGAGAUGGAUUAUAUAGAAAACAAAUUAAGACACUUCUAUUUGAAAUUCUCUUGCAUUCUGGAAACUAAACAGUAUCCAGUUUAGACUUGAAUGUACCUCAGUAACCUCAGUAUCUCUUAUGGUGCUAUGAUGUCAUGGUAGAGCAGAAGUAGUUCUAAUGCCUUUAAAGAUAAUUAAAGUAAAAAUAGCAGUGAUUGGUGAAGAAGAGACCAAAGAAUAAGAUUACAGUAUUUUUUGCAGGGAACCAUUCAAAGGACUACUGCUUCACAGAUCUGUUCAUUUACUGCCCAGGAGGAGUUAGUAAAUCCAAUGUCAGUUAAGGACCCUUUUAACAGAAAACCUAUCUAUGAGAGAUGGGAAAGCUUGUGUAUGUGUGUGUGUGUGUGUGUGUGUGUGUGUGUGUGUGUGUGAGAGAGAGAGAGAGAGAGAGAGAGAGAGAGAGAGAAUUUUUAAUAUUUAUUUUUUNAGACAGGAGGAAAAGCAGGUAGCUUACUGGUAACACAAAUUUGGCACAGUUAAUUACCCUCCCUUUAUAAUGUCUGGGGAAAAACAAAAGAAGACCACAAAGUUUGUGACAGUGUGAGCAUCAGGGGUCAUUCUCAGGGGACAGAAUGAUGUUAUUCUAAACCAGCAGUCCAUUCAACACAUUCAAAAUUUGGCUAGAUUUUCUAUACCAGCAGCUUCUGUUCUCGCCUUCUUCCUAGUGUCUGCUGAUUUAAUUUUAGUGACGUGAUCACUAAAGGAGUCAAUGUCACAGCAGCUUCUUUUUCUGAGGCCCUUUCAAGGUUUCAAGGAUUCCUUUCUACUUUAUAUCAUGCAGGCCACCUACUCUAGAAUCCUUCCUGGAACAAGUUGAAAUAUUUAUUUUGAAAGGGAAGAAAAGGUAGAAAUUAAAGUUUUUACACAAGAUAUUUGAAACUAAUUUUUGCCUUGGGAAAAUGUUACAUAGCAUUUAAAAUAUCCUCAUGUAUGUGUGGUGACAUAGUGUAAUGAUAGCUGAGUAUGCAUUCUCUCUAUAUAUAUACACUGUUGUUGUUGUUAUUAUUAUUAUUAUUAUUAUUAUUGGGGGGGUUUCCAUAAAUUAAACCCAGGGUCACUCAACCACUGAGCCACAUCCCCAGCCCCUUUGUUUUUUAAAAAAAUAUUUUAUUAGAGACAGGAUCACCCCGAGUUGCUUAAAGCCUUGAUAUGUUGCUGAGGCUGGGAUUACAGGCGUGUGCCACCACACCCAACUUUUUUUUUUUUAACAUUUUUUAUUUUGAGACAGCAUCUAGCUAAAUUGUGUGGAGCAUCUCUAAAUUGCUGAAGCUGGCUUUGAUUGUAAUCCUCCUGCUUCAGCCUCCUGCGCCCCUGGGAUUACAGGCGUGAUCCAUCGUGCCUGGCUUCUCCAUAAAAUUUUUAGAAUGUUUCUUUGUGUUCCAAUAAUAUGCCAAAUCACAACACCCUGAAUUCAUACCAAUGGAUUAUUUUGAGCUAAAUUUCUGAAUUGUAUUCUUAUGCUGGUUAAAAUUUCAAGUUUUUAAAGUAUUUCCUUCCCAAUUAAAAAAAAAUAGAAUGAAAUAUACCAACUGAACCAGAUCCCAGAUAAACAACUAAACUAAAUAACAUACAAUAGUUGACAUCAAUUUUAACUUUCAGAAAUAUCUGCGAGAUGGAUUAUAUAGAAAACAAAUUAAGACACUUCUAUUUGAAAUUCUCUUGCAUUCUGGAAACUAAACAGUAUCCAGUUUAGACUUGAAUGUACCUCAGUAACCUCAGUAUCUCUUAUGGUGCUAUGAUGUCAUGGUAGAGCAGAAGUAGUUCUAAUGCCUUUAAAGAUAAUUAAAAUAAAAAUAGCAGUGAUUGGUGAAGAAGAGACCAAAGAAUAAGAUUACAGUAUUUUUUGCAGGGAACCAUUCAAAGGACUACUGCUUCACAGAUCUGUUCAUUUACUGCCCAGGAGGAGUUAGUAAAUCCAAUGUCAGUUAAGGACCCUUUUAACAGAAAACCUAUCUAUGAGAGAUGGGAAAGCUUGUGUAUGUGUGUGUGUGUGUGUGUGUGUGUGUGUGUGAGAGAGAGAGAGAGAGAGAGAGAGAGAGAGAGAGAGAGAGAGAGAGAGUGAGAAAGAGAGAGAGAGAGUCUGUUUGCAUGUGCUGUACUUUUGGGAAAGAGAGCAUAGUGAAAGAGGCUGCUCUUUCCUGCUGCUAGGUUACUGCCUUCUGGAAUAGCAGGAGGGCUGGCAGAAGGAGGAGAGAGUCUGGGCUUGCAUCAGUGACUCCUGGAAUAUUCAGCCUCAUUGCCAUCAGCGUCACAGUUCCAAGAGCAAAGCAAGGACUCUGAGCGAUGUCUUGGCAGUCCUUUGGAUGACUUAUGUAAUACACUUUUUUUUUCCUUCUCUUUCAAGCAAAAAUAUUUAUUCAGAUUUAUGUCAAUUAUUUAUUGUCUGUGCAAACUUGAGCUUUUUCACAACUCUUGGCUGAUAAUGUGCCCCUAUAAAUUAUAAAAAAACAGCCAUGGUGCAUUGAGUGGCAUUCAUUCACAUUCAGUCUUUGGGCCUAUUCUAUGAAAUUUUGUCUCUCAAAGAAAUAUAUUUUCUUCCACACAGAACUUGGGAAAAACUUUUUAUUUAUUUUGAUAUGUGCUAGCUCCAUCAGAGAUGAUUUGAGCAUUUAUUUUAACAGGCUAACUUUUAAAAGAAAGGUUAAAUAGAUGUGGAAUCCAUGGUCAUGGAAAGAAAAGAUUGCCACUGAGUGUGAUUUGCUGUUCAUGUAUGUUGUGUUCAUAGGUGUUACACAUUUCACAAAAUGUAAUUAACGUAGUUUCCGUAGCAAUGAACCUAAGGUUGGAAAAUGUGAUUCCUUGUGUAAAACUGUCCUAUGUUUGGCUAGAUAAAUAGAUUAAUUUUUUUUAAUUUAUAAUUUUUUACAAUAAACUUUAUAAUGGUUUUGAAUGUCUAAAUAUGACUUUAAAUAUAAAAAUAAUAAGAAAAACUGACAAAGUUUGAAAUUUUUAAAAAUAAUUCAUUACUUUGCAUAAGAAUAAAUUUCAUUGACUUUUUAAAUGGGUAAAUCAAUUUUUUUAUUAUAUGUGACAGUGGAAUACAUUACAAAUCUUAUUACACAUAUAGAGCACAAUUUUUCAUAUCUCUGGAUGUGUACAAAGUAUAUUCACACCAAUUCAUGUCUUCAUACAUGUUCUUUGGAUAAUGAUGUCCAUCACAUUCCACCAUCAUUUCUAACCCCAUGCCUCCUCUCUCCCCCUCUCACCCCUCUGCCCUAUCUAGAGUUCAUCUAUUCCUCCCAUGCUCCCUCUCCCAAACCCACUAUGAAUCAGCCUCCUUAUAUCAAAGAAAACAUUCGGCAUUUGGUUUUGGGGGAUUGGCUAACUUCACUUAUCAUUUUCUUCUCUAAUUCCAUCCAUUUACCUGCAAAUGCCGUGAUUUUGUUCUCUUUUAUUGUUGAGUAAUAUUUCGUUGUGUAUAAAUGUCACAUUUUGUUUAUCCAUUCAUCUAUUGAGGGCAUCAGGUUGGUUCCACAGUUUAGUUAUUGUGAAUUGUGCUGCUAUAAACAUUGAUGUGGCUGUGUCCCUGUAGUAUGCUGUUUUUUAGUCCUUUGGGUAUAGACUGAGGAGAGGGAUAGCUGGGUCAAAUGGUAGUUCCCAAUUUUUCAAGAAAUCUCCAUACUGCUUUCCAUAUUGGCUGCACCAAUUUGCAGUCCCACCAGCAGUGUAUGAGUGUGCCUUUUCCCCCACAUCCUCACCAACACUUAUUGUUGUUUGUCUUCAUAAUAGCUGCCACUCUGACUGCAGUGAGAUGAAAUCUUAGAGUAGUUUUAAUUUGCAUUUCUCUAAUUGCUAGUGAUGAUGAACAUUUUUUCAUAUAUUUGUUGAUUGAUUGUAUAUCAUCUUCUGAGAAGUGUCUAUUAAGGUCCUUUGCCCAUUUAUUGAUUGGGUUAUUUGUUUUUUUGUUGUUUAACUUUUUGAGCUCUUUAUAUAUGCUAGAGAUUAGUGCUCUACCUUAUGUUUGAGGGUUAAGGAUUUGCUCCCAAGAUGUAGGCUCUCUAUUCAGCUCACAGAUUGUUUCUUUUACUGAGAAGAAACUUUUUAGUUUGAGUCCAUCCCAUUUAUUGAAUCUUGAUUAUAAUUCUUGCGCCAAAGGAGUCUUAUUAAGGAAGUUGGGGCCUAAUCUCACAUGAUGGAGAUUAGGGCCUACUUUUUCUUCUACUAUUAGAAAAUAUUUGCUCUAUGUUAUGCAACAAUUGAUUUAUUGUAGCUUUGGUUGAAAAAUAUACAGUAUUUCUAGUUAUUCAAAUUUAUAAAACAAAAUCUAACAAAUUUUUUAAAUUAUGCAAUUUUUUUUAGUUGUACAAAUGUACAAGAAUUCCUAGGAUAAAUCCUUCAAUUUAGGAGUAAAGUUUUCUCAUUAUGGUAUAUAAUCAAACUAAUUUAGGAAUGCCAAUUACUUUUUAAUGAUUUAGACUUACACCAGCUGUAUAUGGUAAUUCUAAUUCUUCCACAUUCUUGUCAAAUCUUGGCAUUGAAGAACGAGUAGAAUAAAUAUAUAUUUUCAUUUUUCUGAAACCGAUAACUUGAAAAACAUUUUCUCUUUAACAGUUAAAUUUGUUAAGCUGUUAGUAAUGAGAUUAAGCACUUUUCAGCUAUUUUAUGUAAAAUUUUCAUUUUGUAUAAUCACCUCAAACUUUUAAAAUUGUUUUGAAAAAAACUUGUCCAUUAAAUUUAGGAUAUAAUUUCAUAUUUAUAUUAAUUUUUUAUUUUCCUCAGUGUUAAUUUUGGUAAUAACUAUAAAAAUAAUCCCAAUGACUUGUUUUAUCCUUUCAAAAGUGAAUUCAGAGGUUAAUUCAUUUUAUACCCACCAUAAUAGAGUGGUAUAGGAAGUUCCUGAAUAUUUCACUUUAGAUCAGAGGAAUCUGUGACAGAAAAAUUAUUUCACCUUUCUGAGCUGACAUGGUUGACAACUGAAUGAAACCAGCUGAGAAGUUAGAUCUUCUGAGAUCUCGUCAAAUAGGCAAUAUUUUAAAGGUUUAUAAAAUUUCACUUAUGUGCUAUAUAAGUUAAUGAAUUACAUGUUCAUUAAGCAAAACAAAUGGAGACUGUUCAAUUGCCAUUUAAUCUGCAAAGGAAAUAUGGCUGUUUUGGGGGAACAGAUCCCUCUUUUGGUUUGUGCCAUUUCAUGGACUUUAUAGGAUUUUGAAACAUAAUGGAAAUGAGAAAUGAUUUUGUCUGACUCCAACCCCUUAUCUUUUAUGAAUCUUUUAUUUAUAUGCAAUGUAGACAAUAAACCUCAUUCAUCUAUUUGAAGACUUUUGUUCAGAUUGUUUCUGAAUUUAAAUUAUUCUUUUCUUUUGGUAUCAUCAAAAGAGAGCUAACAACACUUUUUUUUUGAGUUAGGAAACAUUCUCAAACAAACCUGGAAAUGUUUGAUGCUUAUUUAUUCAUUAUUUCAACUAACCAACCAAGCAAUAAUCACUUACUAUACACCUUGUGUCAUGUCUAGAAACUCAUGAAUAAGAUGGCUAUGGUCUCUGCCCGAAUGCAGACACUUUUAGGUGCACAAACAACUUACUGCACAAUUAUGAUACAGUCUCCUGGGAAUUGUGCUUCACAAAAUGGGAACUUAGACACCAAGACUAGACUGGCUGAGAGGAACAGUGGGUGGGAUUAACCUGGGAAGGGAGUUAUCCCUGGGAGCAGGGAUAGUUUUCCAGGCAGCACAAUGGAAACAAUGAUGAGUACAAAACUAAAACUGAAGGACAAGCCCCAUAAAUCAAAAGCCAAAACUGGGGCUUUGGAUUUAACCUUUCCUGAGUUCAAAUGGGAACAUCAUCAUUCUUGACUGAUUUGACCUGUGUCCCAAGGGAAAUGUUUCUUUACUUCUCAGACUCUAGUGUUUGGAGAAGAAAAGAAAAUUGACAUCUUGAAUAUCUUUAGUCAGGAAUAAAAGUGAUUUGGUGAGUAGAGCAUCAAGAACAGGAUCUGGUAAACAAACACUUGAUGAGACCUGUCAAGUUCAUGGCUAAGCCCUGGUGAACUGAUGUGAAGAACCCUGAGAGGGCAGCUGGAGGAGUCAGCCUUGCAGAUCUGGUCCAGAAUUAAUUUGGACUUUGGACUUAAGGGUCCUAGGAAGAAUCUGAAGGGUUUUAAGCCAAGAAAUUACACAAACAGAUUUUCAUUUUGGAACAAUUUAAUACUUGGGUGCAGUCGCACAGUUCCAUAAAUAUGAGGAGUAUUUUACAUAGAAAAGAUUAUGAGGAUAAAACUUAAUAAAAACAAAUAGGAAAACAAUAGCGGCAAAGAAAAAAAACUCAAAUCAUUAAGAAAUAGAUGUUGUAUAUUUUAUAUUUUUUCUCUAUGUAGAAGAAGCCUAGAGGCCAAAUAGUAUCUUUCAAGACUCACGUAUAUCAGAUAAUAUCUCUUGGGCUACCAAACCAUUGCAUAACUUAUUUAUAAUUCUAAGAAAAAAUGUAUCACAAUUCCAGUUGUUGACAGAUCCACAUGUGCAGAAAAAUAAAAAUCAUAUGCCUAGGAGAUGGUCAGAAAUCUUAAUUACACCUAAAUUCAGUAUUGUAACAUUUGUGAAUUUAUAUACUAUGUCACUGCCUGUUAUUUAUUAUAUUCUGUGAUGGUGUUCAAUAAACAUUUGUUGAACCAAGUUUUAUGUGCAAAUCACUUUACUUUAUAUGUACUGUCACAUCUUAUUGAAUUUAUUUAUUUGUUGUCUCACCAUGUAAUAUAAAAUUGUAUAUUCCCUGUUGGAUUAUUUGUUCUUUUCUAUUUCUC
RNAcentral lists this long non-coding RNA (12725 nucleotides) under Marmota monax (woodchuck). Lineage: Eukaryota; Metazoa; Chordata; Mammalia; Rodentia; Sciuridae. The record is from RNAcentral.